RNAcentral lists this ribosomal RNA (253 nucleotides) under uncultured bacterium. Its description in RNAcentral is "partial 16S ribosomal RNA". It matches the Rfam family "Bacterial small subunit ribosomal RNA", at positions 524 to 776 of the family's 1533-position model. The record is from RNAcentral.
UACGUAGGGUGCAAGCGUUAAUCGGAAUUACUGGGCGUAAAGCGUGCGCAGGCGGUUAUGCAAGACAGAUGUGAAAUCCCCGGGCUCAACCUGGGAACUGCAUUUGUGACUGCAUGGCUAGAGUGCGGCAGAGGGGGAUGGAAUUCCGCGUGUAGCUGUGAAAUGCGUAGAUAUGCGGAGGAACACCGAUGGCGAAGGCAAUCCCCUGGGCCUGCACUGACGCUCAUGCACGAAAGCGUGGGGAGCAAACAGG